Long non-coding RNA from Spinacia oleracea (spinach), 748 nucleotides. RefSeq lists it as uncharacterized. The transcript has 3 exons. Lineage: Eukaryota; Viridiplantae; Streptophyta; Magnoliopsida; Caryophyllales; Amaranthaceae. The record is from RefSeq and is a predicted model, not a curated record.
CCCCAUAAUUUUAUAUAUUUUGUUUAUAUAUUUUAACGUAUAUUAAUAUAUUUAAAUAUAAUUUACGGAUUUCAGAAAUGAAUAUGUAAUUAAAAUAUAAUUAUUUUAUUUCAUUUUGAAUACUUUUAAUGAUUUACGAAAUCAAAAUGUAUAUUUGAAUUUUACGUUAAAACGAUUUCGAAUUACGAAACCACGUUCUAUUGAAAUUAGAAAGCAAUACUAAACAUUGUGGAUUCAUCAACCUAAAUCCUACUCCUAGCCCAAUUGGGCAAAGCCCAAACCAAUAAACCCAACUAAAUACUCCCUCCUCUUCUCUACUCUUACGUGAAACCAAAAGAAGAAAAAAAAAUAAAAGAAAAGAGAAACCCUCCUUCAAUUCACGCACAACUCAGCCAUCUCUCCUUCCUCCCCUCCACGCCGUCGCCCACUGCCGGACCACCACCUGCACCGACGACCACCGUCGACCCUCGUGGUAACUCCUUCUUCCUCUCCCUUCUUUCGGUUGUCUUGCCCUGCUCCUCCUCGUCGUUUUUCCCCUCCUUAACGGUGUUAUUGGUUUCACAACACCACCUUUGCGCCUAGCCGCGCCGCUGAGCCACCGCCUUCGCCGCCGCCUCCGCGAGUCUCUUCGCCACCCGCACAACACCACCUUCGUCAGCUCAAUCGACCGUCGCUGCCGCGCCGCAAAGUCUACCGCCGGCCAGCCUCCUCCUCAUUCUCUCCUUGUGGUGGAGAAUUCUCUGUAGGC